AACGAACGCUGGCGGCGUGCUUAACACAUGCAAGUCGAACGGGCUCUUCGGAGCUAGUGGCGGACGGGUGAGUAUAACAUAGGUAAUCUGCCUUUAAGUGGGGGACAACCAGCCGAAAGGUUGGCUAAUACCGCGUAAUAUCGUUGGUUGAGAUACGAACGAGGAAAGAUUUAUCGCUUUUAGAGGAGCCUAUGGUUGAUUAGCUAGUUGGUGGGGUAAUAGCCUACCAAGGCGACGAUCAAUAGCUGGUCUGAGAGGAUGGUCAGCCACACUGGGACUGAGACACUGCCCAGACUCCUACGGGAGGCUGCAGUCGAGGAUAUUUAGCAAUGGACGAAAGUCUGACUAUGCGACGCCGCGUGAGGGAUGAAGGAUUUCGGUUCGUAAACCUCUUUUGGCAGGGAAGAAAACUUUGCUUCUAAUCAAGCAAAUCUGACGGUACCUGCAGAAUCAGCCAC
Molecule: ribosomal RNA, 458 nt
Filed under: uncultured bacterium
Lineage: Bacteria
Description: bacterial SSU rRNA
Rfam family: Bacterial small subunit ribosomal RNA
Source: RNAcentral